UACGAAGGGGGCUAGCGUUGCUCGGAAUUACUGGGCGUAAAGGGCGCGUAGGCGGAUACUUAAGUCGGGGGUGAAAGCCCAGGGCUCAACCCUGGAACAGCCUUCGAUACUGGCGAUCUUGAGUCCGGAAGAGGUGAGUGGAACUCCUAGUGUAGAGGUGGAAUUCGUAGAUAUUAGGAAGAACACCAGUGGCGAAGGCGGCUCACUGGUCCGGUACUGACGCUGAGGUGCGAAAGCGUGGGGAGCAAACAGG
RNAcentral lists this ribosomal RNA (253 nucleotides) under uncultured bacterium. RNAcentral's name for it is "partial 16S ribosomal RNA". It matches the Rfam family "Bacterial small subunit ribosomal RNA", at positions 524 to 776 of the family's 1533-position model. The record is from RNAcentral.